Molecule: long non-coding RNA, 925 nt
Filed under: Pan troglodytes (chimpanzee)
Lineage: Eukaryota; Metazoa; Chordata; Mammalia; Primates; Hominidae
Description: long non-coding RNA NONPTRT007176
Source: RNAcentral
GGAAGCGGGUUGGGUCUUGGGUCUGUUCUGGCCUUGUGGUUCUGGAACCGGAGGGGAAGGGGGAAAGUAAGGGAGAGAGAAAGAGACGGAGAAAAACAGGAAAACUUACUCUUCAGUACGCAGGGAAGAAUAGAGAAAGAAAAACACAAAGAAACGCCACGCAGACUGCAGAGAAGGACCACGAACACACGCUCCGAGAAACACACUCAGCUCGCACGCACUGAGAAGCACACUUAAGAUAAACACUCAGGUCACACACACAAGCACACUAAGAAACAUUCAGUUCACACACACUCAGAAACACACGCACUCAGAAGCACACUCAAGAUAAACACUCAGCUCACACAGAAAAGCACACUCAAGAUAAACACUCAGCUCACACACAGAAGCACACUCGGAGAAACAUUCAGCUCACACACAGAAACAUACUCUGAGAAACACAAUCAGCUCACACCCACUCAAGCACACUCAAGAUAAACAGCUCACACAAGCACAUUCAGAAAACACUCAGAAACACAGCUCACACUCAGAAACACACUCUGAGAAACACAGCUCACACACUCAGAAGCACACUGAGAAACAGCUCACACACACAGAAACAGAAAAACACAGCUCACGCACACUAACACAAACACACACGGAGAAACACAGAAGCACACUCAGCUCACACACACCCAGAGAAACACGCUCAGAGAAACACUCAGAACGCACAGGAAGAGAGAGGAAACCAAGUGGGUGGUCUUGGAGGCCUGGGACCGGGGGAGGGGAAGGAGAGACACUGAGAAGGGGGAGACGGGAGCAGCAGAGGGAAAGAUGCCUGGAGAGAGAAACAGAGAUAAAGGCAGACAUAAGAGGAGGCAGAAAACACAAAGGCCAAAAGGAGGUGGAUAAAAGGACAGUAAAGAGAAACACACACGUAGAGAAU